Molecule: ribosomal RNA, 94 nt
Filed under: Aphidius transcaspicus
Lineage: Eukaryota; Metazoa; Arthropoda; Insecta; Hymenoptera; Braconidae
Description: partial 5.8S ribosomal RNA
Source: RNAcentral
UUGCGGGAGGAGCAGGGCCCAAUGAAAUCGGCAUUUUGAACGCACAUUGCGGUCCUCGGAUCCAAUUCCCGGACCACACCUAGCGGAGGGUCGU